GGGCUGUGGUUCCCCAUGAGGUUUCAGGUUCUUUCAUCUUUGUGAUUCAACAUUUAUAUGAAACAGUUAGGGGCUAUCUUCAAGGAAUCUGGAGCACAGUGUUCAUAUGUAUACUGAUGACCUGCAUCUCUGUCUCGGCUUUCCGUAGGAAUUAGGAGAACCAGUGAAGGUGUUGAACUGCUGUCUGAAGGUUGUGUUGGACAGGAUGGUGGCUGAAUCCUUAUAAUUCCAAAGUGCUUUGGGUGAGUGGAUUCUGUCUCUCAAAGGAUUGGGAUCCCUUCUGGGAGGGAUUGGACUCACUGUGAAGGAAGAAGUUUGUAGUCUGGAACUACCUUGAGAUUCCAACUCAUCACUAGGGUCUCAAGUGGCUUCUGUGGCUGGUCUGCUUAUGCCCUUUUAGGUUGAUGCACUAGGUGCAUCUAUGCCUAGAUGUAUACCUGCUGCACCUAGCAUCAUGCAAACUCCAGAAGAUUAUAAUGUUCAUUUUAAGCCCAAGCAAUGCUGUAAGAAGCUUAGCAUUAUAUCAGAUUCCACUAACCGGAGAUCUGCCUCUGGGACGUCACAUAAAAGAAUGUCUGACAACAGUAUCUGAUAGCCAUUGGUCCUUAAUGCGAGAUGUCUUCUGUGCAUGUUGCUCUUUUUCGUAUUGUGGCUCAUAUGUUUAUUUAGUGUUAGACCUUACAGUGUUCCUUAAAGGACAUUGCUUACUCAUUGGUGGCUUACAAAUAAACAAUAUAUAGAAAGGCAAUUUUCAUAUCAUAUACAAUAUAAUAUCACAUACAAAGCAAAUUGUGAUUAACAUCAGCUGGGCAACAAGGAGGAUCUCAAUAAUAAUAAUAAUAAUAAUAAUAAUAAUAAUAAUAAUAAUAUUUAUAUCCCGCCCGCCCCAGCUGAAGCCGGGCUCAGAGAGGCUAACAACAGUAAAAUGAUAAAACAUUCUAAAAUCUAAACUAACAUGCUAGCGUGUUCCCACAAGUAAAGCCAAUUGUUCAAAUAGAGAUUCUCUCCAUUAAAAUACUAUCCAUCUAUAUAUGAAUUUCCUCUCUAUAAACCCUACUUUUCUCUCCGAGGAAACAUCACAUUUAAUCAGGUGCUAAGUGAAAAAAGCCUCCUUGUUUUCAUUGCAUCCCAUUUUAUUUGGAUAACCAUGAAUGUUGGCAUUUGAGAAAUUUAUUUCCUCACCUGAGUGAAGUCCCUGUGCCAUUUAAUUUGUCCAUCAUUAAUGGUGAACUCUUUGCCUGCAGGGGCCUGAGGAUCCAGCCUUCCCACUUUGACCCUGAUGUAGGAUCUAUUUGGGAAAGUGAUCAAAUUUGUAAUAUCAUAACCAGCUGCUAAUUCUCCACGUUCAUUUAAUGUAAUUUCAUCACCAACAGAGUUGUUGAAUGAGAUCUUCUGUAGGAAUGAGUGGAGCUAGGUGGAAAGAGAACCAAAAGGACUAUAAAGUAUUAUAACAUUCUGAUUAAGAUUGCUGAACAGCUUUCCUAGAUGCAUUCAAGAUCUUUAUAACGAAGGGUUAUAAAGUUUUAAUUCAAAGUAUAGUUUAUGAAAGUGUAGAAUUGGGAGGACCAUUCUUGUUUUCUGCAAAUGAAGGAAUUUUAUACCAUACAUGACACAGUCAGAUUGAUAAUUUUUGAAUACAUUCGAAAGAAAGGUUACAUAUUGUCAUAUUAAAAGACGUCUAUUAUGCCUUUUUUCCAUCUCACUUUUUAAUCAGUAUUAUGUUAUUAUAUGUUCUUGGAUAAUUGGGACCAAUCAAUCACAUAUUAAAAUAUGUGCAAUUGUUUCUCCAUGCAGAUACUCUAACUCUAAGAGGAACGUGUUCUAGGAGAGGGGAGAUGACAACUGAGGGUUGUUGUUUUUUAAGUUAACAUUAUGACAAACCCCCUCUUUAAUUUAUGUUCUGCUAUAAGAAGCAUAGCCUGCAGUGCAGUAGAAAUCUUCAUUGUUGGUUUCUUUAACAGGAUACCUUUUAUUUGUUUUAUUUAUAACUAAAUACCAACUCACAUAAAAUAUCAAGGCAGGGCACAAUAGUGAACACUUUGCAAACCAAACUUUUUGUAACUGCAAACAUUACCUUCCAAGGCUCUAUAUUCUGAGGAGAUCGUCUGCCUGCAGCCUCCAUUCUUCUGCUGUUGGAUCCAGCCAAGUGCCUAUGUAAGGCAUGUGCCAAAGCAGAGACAGCAUUAUAGAUACUGUAGCUGUGGCUGGUCAUGCUCAUUUCAAAAAAUGGCGCAGGAAGGCUCUCCAACAUUUCCUCUCCGGUACAAGGCUUAGCUAUCUUUGUUGACUUUGUGGAGUGUGCAAGUGAACAAUCAAAUGUUUGUUCCCAGAAACCUGAGAUAAAAUCAUCUCCCUCUUCCCAGGAAGGAUUUACAUGUUGCAGAAAAUCUGGGAAGUCACGAACUUCCUUGGAAUGAAUUGCAAAAGAGAUAGCACCAUGCAACAUUUGUAUAUUAACAUCAAUAACUUUCUGAAGUUCAUAUAAAAUGAAAUCAAUCUGAGCUGUGGUAAUCCAUACUUUUCCUUCACGUAAGUUCUUUUUAGACUGGGAAAAUAUGAACUCAGAUAACUUCAUCAGCUUUAGAGCAGUUGACAACCAUGUAAUAGAUGCACUUUCUCCAUAUACAACAACUGCAUUUGCUUUGCUUGUUAUGAAAGCUGGGGACAAAAUCCUUGUCUCUCUCAGCAUAUCAGUUAUCUUACCAGUGACAUGCACAUGGUAUUCAGCUCUUUCUGUGAAUGCUGAACAGAUCCCAUUUUUGAAAAACAUUGGCUCAAUGGUAUUCAAGAAACGUUCUCCAGCUUCAUUAGCUGGAAUGAUGAGCCCAACCCAUUUCCAUCCAAAAUGCAGAAGCAACUGGAUAAUUCCUUGAUACUGAAGAGCUUCAUUAGGAGCCAUGUGGUAAAAAGAAGGGAAUUUAAUUUGAUCAUUUGUGGCUGCUUCAAAUGAACCAUAUGAAAUCUGAAAAAGAAAAAAGAAAACCAUAAGGAAUUGAUGGAAGUAUUCAUAACAAACCUAUUUAUCCCACACAUUUCAAAUUUACUGUUUUUUUGGGGGUGGGGUGGGGAACCCACUCCCUCUUACAUAAAAAAUACACAAGCAAUCUUGCUCAAUUUCCUAUUUCAUAUGGGGAGCAUUUCUAGUUAACAUGUCCUGAUCUUAUAUGAUCCACUGAUAAUUCCCCCCCAGGAUCUUAUAUGAUUCCAUCUGGAUAUCCCAUUUACCAACCUGGCACCUUUGAAUUAAUCUUCCCUUAUAUGCAUUAUAUGCAUUGAUCACAUAUGCUUAGUAACCUACCCCUCUCAUGCACAUUGUUAGAGACCCCCAUGCUAUAACAACAACAAACCCACACAUUUAAGUCCCUUUCAAUUGUCCUUGUUAUGCCACUCCAUAUUUAUGAAUUAAUAGACUCCUACUGCAAAGAGAGCUGAAGAGUGAAUUAUAGUGUGAAAUCUCAAUUUUCUCUUACCCAGAAUAUUCCUACCUGUGGAAUUUUGUAAAGACCCAAGAUGUCUGCCAUGCAUAAGGUGACCUCAGAGCUCAGUCCCCCAAUGACUCCUAUUACAUUUUCCUGGGAGCCACAUUUGUAGUUGGGGACAAAGAUAUAUGAGUUAAACAGCAGAUCCAGAGUGGUGCGGUAGGUCAUCUUAGAUUGAUAGUAGCUGUCAUAGAUGUGGAACCCAAGAGUGACAUUGGGCAAGACCUUGGGAUUCUCAUUGAUCUCAUCAACUGCAAACACCAGGGCAAGGAUGUGCUGGUAGAACUUUGAUAACACGCUGUGAAUAAAGUCGCAUUAUUAUGUGGGGAAAGUAAAUAGUGUACAAAAUCUACAUCUGAGAGAGAGAACUUUCAGAGGAAAGAUGGGUCUUGUUUUGUUCUGUUAGAAUAUUUGAAUGACUCUUUAGCUCAAAUUUUUUUUAUUUUAUUUCUCAAAGACAUAGAUUGUGAAUAUACAGAAUGGGUCAGGAAUUUUCUUGACUUUCACUUCAUCUAGAAAUAACUGCUGUGUCAUAUGACUAUGCUACAGUUUUUGAAAUUAUUGCUAUAGCCCUUUGGCUGUAGCUUUCUCUGGAAAUGCAAACUUGCAUUAAAUGAUAAUAAAGCUGACGGCAGUUGCAAUUUUCAAUGCAAAUCAUCAGGUUUUCAAGAGAAUAAAGAUACAGCAAUGGAGAGUUUCACAUGUAUUUCUACCAAGUAUGCCUACUUGUGAGCUAGCGAGUGUACUCUCUGCUUCUUCUUCCCCUCAGAAUGUGGGAUGUUAGCAUCCAAAAUGCAUAUGUAAAAGGUUAAUUUCAAGAGCUGUAGAACUCUGUGAGGCCAUACAAGUUGUGGAAGUUAUGACAGUUGACAGUUAUGGCAGUUAACUGAACAGUCUUAACAGUUGGAGCAGCAUUGAUGAACUGUUGUGCUGCUCUCUGCCUCAGAGAUGACCAGAACUGUACAGAAUAUUCCAUAAUUAGUAUAAUAGCAUUAUGAUGUGUACAGUAUUCCUUUUUAGAUGAGGUGACCGGAACACAGUAUUCCAAGUGUAGUCGCACCAUAGAUUUUUGCUUUUUCUGAACCUUUCCCAGAUGAACAAUAUAUCUGUUUAGAUGAGGUUACCAGGACUGUACACACUAUUCCAUAAUUAGUAUGAUAGCAUUAUGAUUUGGGUGGUUUUGGUUUCAGUCCCUUAAGGCUUAAGUGAGGAUUUCUAGAAUGGAAUUUGUCAUUUCUACAGUUUCUAUACACUGACUCAUUAUUUUCAAUGAGCUAUCCAUUACUGUCCCAGUAACUCAUUUGUGGCCAAUCACCCCCAGUUUAAACACCAUAGACUUAUAAGUGAAUGAAGGACUCCCCCCCCCCCCCAAAAAAAACAUAGAUCACUUUACAGAUUGAAUUACAUUCAUCAUUUAACUGUCUAUACAUCCAGUUUGGCAAAAUAUGUUUGGAGCUCUUCACAAUUCAUUUUUGUUUUAGGCGCUCUGAAAAUUUUUGUCACGUCAGCAAAUUUGGCUGCUUUAUUUCUUAGGUUUUUAUGCCGCCCUGUUCUAUUCUUACUCAAUUUUCUCUUUGCAGAAUUGGAUCACUAAAUCUUAAGGAUUCCUAAUGUCUAACUGACAGUGUAGACAUAACCUGUAUGCACAGAUAUUUGUUAUAUCAUCCAUCAAAUCAAUACAGUUCUAAAACUUUUCAUUCAAAGCAAAGUAUAUUUCAGUCAAAUAUAAAAAUGUAAAGAAUGAAAAAAAUAAUAUUAAGGACUAUUUACUUACAUUGGUCUGUCAAUCAAGACUUCAGAGGGGUGUUUAUUGAAUAAAACAGUGGGGAAAAGGUAGCGGAUAUGAGACGCUAUGCCACCAAUGACAGGGUCACCUGGCUCAUACCACUCAUGUGGAAUAGGUACAGGAUUAGUUGUGGUAAAAUUAGCACUAUGCACUUGGCACACCAUGUUGGGCGAGAGCAAGAGAAGCAGCAGCAGCAAGGUUCUACACAUGGACUCUUCUUUGCCUCUCUACAAUAUCAUCAUCAUUAUCAUCAUCAGCCUGAUUUGAACAGCAUGGAUUUGGAGGCAGCUGAUUCUGCCAAUUUAGUGCUUAAAGGGACAUGCAUGCAUCUUAUCAUUAAACUCUGUCGCAAAUACCUGCCUUGAAUGGUAAAUAAGAUGAUGUGAUUUGAAAUUUUGCCUAUACAAUCACAGAGCCUGGCCUCUCUCUCUCCUGCAUUAUUCUAACUGUCUAUGGAACACUGGGAGACUAUAAACAUUUCAGACUUGCUUGCUGAUUCUCCCCCACCUCACAUUUUGCCUUCUGGAGCAUUGGCAAGAUGACUUAAUUAUUGUCAUUUUAAUAAUUGCAGGGGAGACAAUCACUUGCAAUUUUUUACGGACUCCAUGGCGCAUCAUCUUUGGCAGAACUGUCAAGUAAACAUUUGUUGCCUCAGGCAAUUCUCAAUUAGGAAAAGUAAGAUUUUACUAGUUUGCUAGGUAAAUCACUGAGAUCAGAUGCCAGCCUCGCAAACUGGCGCAGGGCUGGCAGUGAGGUGUGAAGAGCCAAAGUCGAAGCUCCUCCUAAAAAAUGCACCUGGGUCCAUCAUUCUUUAAUUGAACCCUUGACCCUUCUGUGAAUCCUCACCAACCCAAAAAUAUAUAUGGCAAAAUGAAAUUCAAGGAAAAAGCAGUCACUAUGCAAUCCAAAACAGAAAAGCAAAACUGAUGAAAAAGGGCUGAUAUCCAAUUGCAUCCAUUUAUAAAUGGGACAAACUUCUACGAGUGGAGAAGAAAGAGAAAAAGAGCUAUUACACAGUGGUACCACAUAUGGUUCAUGUGCAGAGGGUCUGACAUUCAAUACCUAACAUCUUCAGGUAUUGCUGGAAGAGACCCCAGUCUGAAACCUUAUAAAGCUGCUGUCCAUCAUUGUAGACAAUAUGGAACUAAAUGCAGUAGUGAAUUGGUUCAGUAUAAUCUAGCUUCCCUUCCUUCUCUUCCCUCUGCAGCUUCCCAUAGGAGCGUACCGAUGGUGUGCAGGAGAAGCAGAGGAAAGAGAAAUGAGGGGUGAGGGGAGACUUUGUGCUGGCUAUCAGGCAAUGGCUUUUCCCACCUGCCUUGCCCCACCCUUCAGCCCUAGGAGCCUUUCACAAGACCAUGACUUUAGGAACAGCAGAAGCAGGCUUUCAGUCAUUUGAUGUUGCAUAGUAUCCAUAGUUUCAUUCCGUCCCACAGCCCCUAUUCAUUAACACCUCUAUUAUGUAGGUCUAUUAUGCUUGACCUACAUUUUGUGUUUGUAACUGGAUAAGAAGUUGGAUGCGGGUGGCGCUGUGGGUUAAACCACUGAGCCUAGGACUUGCCGAUCAGAAGGUCAGUGGUUCCAAUCUCUGUGACAGGGUGAGCUCCUGUUGCUCGGUCCCUGCUCCUGCCAACCUAGCAGUUCGAAAGCACAUCAAAGUGCAAGUAGAUAAAUAGGUAGUGCUCUGGCGGGAAGGUAAACGGCGUUUCCGUGCACUGCUCUGGUUCGCCAGAAGUGGCUUAGUUAUGCUGGCCAUAUGACCCGGAAGCUGUACGCCGGCUCCCUCAGCCAAUAAAGCGAGGUGAGUGCCGCAACCCCAGAGUCGGUCACGACUGGAGCUAAUGGUCAGGGUCCCUUUACCUUUUAAGAAGUUGGCCUAACCUGCAGUGUAUCCUGGGUAAUCACCCCUUUUCCUAUUUCUUUUCCAACCCUCUCUAGCAAGUUGCUGUGUGACAGGGGCCUUAAUAAUUAAAUGACUGUGUACAUGACAAAGUGCAGUCAAAGAAGGUUAUCUUAAAGAAAGUCCUCCUGAAUGGAUUUCCUACCUUAAGGAAGUUUUGGACACCCAACAUGACCAGCUAUUCUACUCAUCCCACAUUUAGGUAUAUAUAGUUGACUGAGGAAUACUCUCUGCAUAGGUUCGGACAAAAUCUCAGGUUCUGAAAUCUGCAUUUAGUGAUGUUUCCACUGCUAAUAUAUUUCAUUAUCACCAUCACUGCAACUCAGCAUUUUCAGUCAUAAACCAAAACUGUGGGGAACAGUCCAGUUUGUGAGAGGUCAUUUCUGGGCAUAAGGUAAUUUGGGCCUAUUCUCUGAGCUGUGCCCAGUUGACUCCAGCAAAAGAUCUCACAAGGGAGUGUGUUUUAGGAGUUAGGUAGGUUGUGGACACACAUGGGGAUUCCAAUUUACACUUUUAAGACCUCAUGUUCCUAGAUUGAUACCAAGAACAUAUGUUAAACUACAAACACAUCUCUCAUUUACAUAUUUCUCUCUGUCAGUUACUCUCUAUUGUUGGAUUCAGGCUGUGAUGGGAUGAUGAGCUGCUUGUGCGUAAAAUCGUAUCCCCUCAGAGUUUGUUCAAGUCCACAAACCUCUGUCUGUGACAGAGCACCUCAGACAUGUCUACUCUAGUCACUAGCAGAUUCCGACAGUGGUUGCUUGCGUAAUCGCUUCCAACAUAAAAGCUCCUUAACGGAAACACGUCUUCUGGAAUCUCUGCGUGACAGUUUCCGGCGAGGAGUGGGUGUUCUUACAGGAGGUCCUGAAACCUCUCCACUGUUUUCGCUGGAAGUGUCUCUGAGCCAUCCCUCCAGCUCAGCUCCUCUCCCCUGCUGGUUCCCUCAUCAGCUGCUGCGUCUCUCCCAGCCUGUGUGAGCCCUCUCACCUCCCUGUUGGUUUCCUCUUCAGCUGCUGCGUCUCUCCCAACCUGUGUGAGCCCUUUCACCUCCCUUCCGUCCGAUGGCAGUUCCCUGACAUCCACCUCCCCUCCAGGGCCCCCUUCACCCCCUCUCGCCCCCUCCUCUACGGGCGGUGAGGAGGCAAAACCCGGAAUGAACUUCCUUCAUCUUCCGAUGUCUCGAACACUUCUCUCAACCUGUUGCGGUUCCUGGUCUCGAAGUACACCUCCUCCUCAGAGUCCAUCUCCCCUUCCCCUUCCGAGUCCGGGAAUCCUUCCAACUCCUCCCCUUCAUCAGUGGUCCUAAAGUAUUCCCUCCGGAACCUCUCCACAGGCUGAGGUUUCCUUGGGAACCUUUGAUGGAACGUUUCUAUCAAUACCUCGUCAUUGAUAUCUUCAGCCAUUACCCAAGUGUUUUCUGACUCCGGUUCUCCUUCCCACGCUACCAAAUACUCCACCUGAUCCCCCUUCCACCUGGCGUCGAGGAUUUCUGCCACAUGGCUACUGCAUUCUCUUUCUUCUACGACCGGUCCCCGAGGGGCCAGCCCUUCUCGUCCCCUUCGUACGGUGACAGUAACGACCUGUGAAAUACUGGGUGCAGUUUCAUGUGGUUGGGUAACCGGAGCCUGAAAGCCACUGGGUUGACCUGUUGAAUGACCUCAAAGGGACCCAACCUCCUGGGUCUUAAUUUCUUACAACCUCCUUUGAACGGCAACCCUUGGGUUGACAGCCACACCCUAUCUCCCACCCUUAUGGUUUCACCUUCCCUUCGGUUCUUGUCUGCCUGCCUCUUGUAUUCUUCCUUCGCCCUUUCUAAGUUGAGUUGGAGCUGACGAUGGAUUGCUUCCAUUUCUUCCACAAAAUGCUCGGCUGCCGGGACGCUCCAUCUCCCCCUGGGAAAGCCCUGGGAUGACACCCAUAAUUAGCCAAGAAGGGGCUCAUCCCUGUGGACACAUUCUCGGCAUUGUUGUAGGCAAAUUCCGCCAGCGCCAACUUUUCUACCCAGUCAUUCUCUCUGUCAUUGACAUAACACCUCAGGUAUUGCUGGAGGACACCGCUUGCUCUUUCCGCCUGCCCGUUGGUUUCAGGGUGCCGGGCAGUCGAAGAAUUGACCUCCACCUGCAGUAAGCUCAUGAGCUUCCUCCAGAACCUGGAAGUAAAUUGUUUUCCUCGGUCUGAGACCACCCUCAAUGGCACCCCGUGCAACCUAAAAAUGUUUUCUACAAAUAACUUCGCUGUCUCUUCCGCCGUGACUGCAUGCGAGCAAGCUACAAAGUGGCACAUCUUUGUUAGUAGGUCUACCACCACCAUGAUGGCUGUUUUCCCUUUGGACUUUGGCAGAUCAGUCAUAAAAUCUAUCGACACUGCCUCCCAAGGUCGUUCUGGGGCUGGUAAGGGUUCUAAUAGCCCCGCCGGCGCCCGCCUUUCCCCUUUGGCUCGCUGGCAUUGCUCGCACCCUCUUACAUACUCACGUACAUCUUCCCUCACCUUAGGCCACCAAAAUUCCCUGGUGACCAACCACAUGGUUUUGUGUUGUCCAAAAUGCCCCGCCGUAGGGCUGUCGUGCAACUGCUUGAGUACCCUCCCCUUUUGUCUGCAUCCUGAGCCCUCCUCUCCUCAAGCCUCGCCGUCUGCAUCGCUAGCUGGACCUCCAACAUCUGGUACCUUUCUUCCAGGCUUGGACCCGCUCCAGCUCCUGCUUCUCCGGUUCCGGCUGGGUUGCUCAUGAUACCUUCUCCUGCACAAGCUGCUUUCAAAGACUGUCGGAAUGCUGUGAUGGGAUGAUGAGCUGCUUGUGCGUAAAAUCGUAUCCCCUCAGAGUUUGUUCAAGUCCACAAACCUCUGUCUGUGACAGAGCCCCUCAGACAUGUCUACUCUAGUCACUAGCAGAUUCCGACAGUGGUUGCUUGCGUAAUCGCUUCCAACAUAAAAGCUCCUUAACGGAAACACGUCUUCUGGAAUCUCUGCGUGACAGUUUCCGGCGAGGAGUGGGUGUUCUUACAGGAGGUCCUGAAACCUCUCCACUGUUUUCGCUGGAAGUGUCUCUGAGCCAUCCCUCCAGCUCAGCUCCUCUCCCCCUGCUGGUUCCCUCAUCAGCUGCUGCGUCUCUCCCAGCCUGUGUGAGCCCUCUCACCUCCCUGUUGGUUUCCUCUUCAGCUGCUGCGUCUCUCCCAACCUGUGUGAGCCCUUUCACCUCCCUUCCGUCCGAUGGCAGUUCCCUGACACAGGCCUCACAAAUAUAACAUAGAUUUUUAUUUAGAUUCUUAAAUAAUUCAUAUAUCACUUAGUCAAAAAAACCCAACAACUCUAAUACUAAUACUCUCUAUUCUUCAUUCAUAUUAGCUGUUUAAUCAGAAUAGCUACAGAGUAAUGUUGAUGUUUCUCUUUCAGAAUUUUACUGACUUUUACUGAAGCUCAGAAGCUGAGGUGAACAUUUGCCUCAUUUGAUCAGAUUGGCCUCUUACAAUAACCUGCAACAAACAGAGCACAAAAAAGCUGAAAUAUUUUUAUUUGGUCACAUUGUCCUCAUCCAUUAACAUUUUUGACGUUUCAGUGUUGAAAACUAAGAACAAUCAUGGAAGCAUAAAUUCUUAUAUUAUUUAUAUCUUUUUUGUAUUAAAUGCUCUCUGGUGUUCAACUCAGGCCUCACUACAAUAAUGUAGCAUUUGGGGAAAAAGAUGCAAGCCAGUAAUCCAGCACUAGAAGCCAAGAUGGAGAAGAUCUCCACAGCCACCAUGUAUUUUCCUCUGGUGCUCAGGUAGGUUGGAAUGAAGGAGAGCCAAACACUGCAAAAGACCAGCAUGCUGAAAGUAAUGAACUUGGCUUCGUUGAAACUGUCUGGCAACUUCCUGGCUAGGAAAGCCACAGUGAAGCUGACAGUGGCCAGGAAGCCCAUGUAGCCCAAAACACAGAAGAACAUGAAGACUGACCCUUCAUUACAUAACAAUAUAAUUUCUUUACUCAUUGAGUGCAUGUCCAAAUCUGGAAAAGGGGGAAAAGUUGCCAGCCAAAGACCACAAAGCCCUACUUGAAGAAUGGAGCCGGAGAGGAUUAUGGAAUAAGCCAGUUUUUUGCCUACCCACUUCCUGAUUGUGGAAUCUGGCUUGGUAGCCAUGAAUGCCAAAACCACCGAUAUAGUUUUGGCCAAGAUGCUGGAGAGGGCCACAGAGAAGACAAUGCCAAAACUUGUUUGUCGGAGUGGGCAGGUUGCCUGCUUAGGUGUUCCAAUGAACAUCAAGGAGCAGAGGAAACACAAGAGGAGGGACACAAGGAGAAUGUAAGUGAGGCUUCUGUUGUUGGCUUUGACGAUGGCAGUGUCCUGGUGUUUAAUGAAGAUGCCAAACACUAGAACUGUGAUCAGAGACAACAGUAGUGCCGAGAAAGUUGAAAUGAUGGCCAAAGUUUCAUCGAAGCCAAGAAAGUUUGGUAUUUUAGGAAUGCAAUUAUCCUGGUCUUGGUUUGGAUACUUAUUUGCUGGGCAACUGAAACAUGUUUCCAUGUCUGAAAAGACAAAAUGAAAUUACGAAGAAAAUUCUUAAGAAUUUUUGUCACCAGGAGUUCAACUAGUUAAUGUUCUUUACCAGGG
Molecule: non-coding RNA, 11744 nt
Organism: Podarcis lilfordi (Lilford's wall lizard)
Lineage: Eukaryota; Metazoa; Chordata; Lepidosauria; Squamata; Lacertidae
Source: the annotation of a GenBank genome assembly